CCCUUAGAUGUUCGGGGCCGCACGCGCGCUACACUGAAGGAAUCAGCGUGCUCUCGUCCUGGUCUGGAAAGACUGGGUAACCCGUUGAACCUCCUUCGUGCUAGGGAUUGGGGCUUGCAAUUAUUCCCCAUGAACGAGGAAUUCCCAGUAAGCGCAAGUCAUCAGCUUGUGUUGAUUACGUCCCUGCCCUUUGUACACACCGCCCGUCGCUACUACCGAUUGAAUGGUUUAGUGAGACCCUCGGAUUCGUCCCAGCACAGUGGGUUUCUGCUGAGCUGGUGCGCGGAGAAGACGGUCGAACUUGAUCAUUUAGAGGAAGUAAAAGUCGUAACA
RNAcentral lists this ribosomal RNA (333 nucleotides) under uncultured eukaryote. Its description in RNAcentral is "partial 18S ribosomal RNA". It matches the Rfam family "Eukaryotic small subunit ribosomal RNA", at positions 1470 to 1796 of the family's 1831-position model. The record is from RNAcentral.